AGAUCCCUGAAAGAUGAUCAGGUUGAUAGGUCAGAGGUGGAAGCGCGGUGACGUGUGGAGCUGACUGAUACUAAUAGAUCGAGGACUUAACUAAA
Molecule: ribosomal RNA, 95 nt
Filed under: Bacillus sp. B1-b2
Lineage: Bacteria; Bacillati; Bacillota; Bacilli; Caryophanales; Bacillaceae
Description: partial 23S ribosomal RNA
Rfam family: Bacterial large subunit ribosomal RNA
Source: RNAcentral